This 253-nucleotide ribosomal RNA is filed under the name uncultured bacterium. RNAcentral's name for it is "partial 16S ribosomal RNA". It matches the Rfam family "Bacterial small subunit ribosomal RNA", at positions 524 to 776 of the family's 1533-position model. The record is from RNAcentral.
UACGGAGGGUGCAAGCGUUAUCCGGAUUCACUGGGUUUAAAGGGUGCGUAGGCGGGCAGGUAAGUCAGUGGUGAAAUCUCCGGGCUUAACCCGGAAACUGCCGUUGAUACUAUCUGUCUUGAAUAUCGUGGAGGUAAGCGGAAUAUGUCAUGUAGCGGUGAAAUGCUUAGAUAUGACAUAGAACACCCAUUGCGAAGGCAGCUUACUACACGAUCAUUGACGCUGAGGCACGAAAGCUAGGGGAGCAAACGGG